CUAGGAGUUGGGUCAAGGGUGCUAUUCUUGCCUCUGGUACAGGACAGACUGCCCACUUGACAGCUGAUAGGAAGGAGUUACCCCAACUGGUAGAACGUGAACUCCUUAGGAUCCAAGAUAUCCCAGAUAUGGUGGAGGGAGUGGAAAGGGAUGGAUAUCUAACCUCUCUUCUCUUUCUCACAGGGUAGCAUGUGUGAAUCCUGAUUCACCAGAUUCAUUGAUAAUGCAUAUCAUAGGCAGUUGCCACUGUUCUGAGUUUGAUGAAUUGUUGGAUAUGUCACCCACCCCCUGAUCUUACAGAUAAACAUCUGAUUGCUGUGCUACUGAAUACCACAAAUGGACAUUUCUUUAAGUGUGGACAUUUCUGGUACCUUAAGUACUCAACAUUAUUAAUCUAGAUCUGAUACAUUGCUGCACUUGGACCCUGACACUGCAGAGUGAAAUGCCUCCCUAAACGUCAACUCUCUCCUGUCAAAGUUGGGGGCAACUGGAACAUUUGUAGAAGCCAUUUUGUAAAGACCAUUGUAAGGCUAUUUUGGACAUGACGAUGGGGCCCUCUCCUCCCCUACACUCACCUCCAUCAUUACUCGGGGAAGUUGCCAGCCCCAGAGCUUGUGCCAUAGUUGAAUGAAAUACCAGGAAGGAGUGUGAUGUAAGGAG
This 660-nucleotide long non-coding RNA is filed under the name Equus caballus (horse). RNAcentral describes it as "lncRNA (ENSECAG00000057989.1)". The record is from RNAcentral. Lineage: Eukaryota; Metazoa; Chordata; Mammalia; Perissodactyla; Equidae.